Molecule: ribosomal RNA, 2304 nt
Filed under: fungal sp. JF61
Lineage: Eukaryota; Fungi
Description: eukaryotic LSU rRNA
Rfam family: 5.8S ribosomal RNA (bases 1891-2045)
Source: RNAcentral
CAUGCUAAUAGCAGCUAGUAUAGAUCACGCACAAUAGUGAAGUGAUAGUUGAAGGUCGAAUGCAGAAUAAGGUAGUAGAGAGGAUACGUGUAGAUCAAGAGUAUACUGAAGUAUCUCUUGAGUUGACGAAUCUCAGUCAUGUAGCUACGAGACAGAUUUAUAUGUUAUAAGGUGUUAGGGGUAUAGAAGAGAAUAUGAAUCAUAUGUUGUUAAUGUGCUNGUGAGGUUGUAAAUGUGUAGGGGGUAGAAGAAAGUAUGUUUGGCAUAUAAAAUUCUAAUAUGAAAAGAUAAGUGAUUAUAAGGGUAUAGUAGUAAGAAUUAAUUUGUAUGAAUUAUAGUUAAAUUAAAGAUAAGAGCAGAAUAGAAGGAGAUAGAAGCUGGUGAAAUAAUAGGAGGUAGAGAGAUAAGAAUGAGAAGGAAUUCAUUAGUGAAGUUAAAUAAGGAAUAUCAAGGUUAAAAUUGGAUGGAUAAAUUAGGUGUUAGGUAUGUAGAUGAUAAGGUAGAAUCUAGAUAUGUAGUAGUUUAUAGAGGAAAGAGAAGCGUGUAUAGUAGUUUAUAUUGGUUUAGCUAUGAAAUAGAGAUAUAUGAUAACAAAAUGAGUGAUGAAAAAUGAGACUUGUGUGGGGGAUUGUGGAGAGGGGAGUGGAAUUUUAUUGGAACGUACUUAUAACAAAUGUAAAUAAGGGAGAUAGAUGAAUUCCAUCAGAUUAAUUGAUAAUGGUUGGAGAUCAUCAGGGUAAUACAUUACAAGGUUCCGGAGGUAAGGCCUAAAAAACAUAUUAGUGGAAGGGGAAUUGAGUAGGCGCCGACUUGGGCAUACAAAGAAGCGGGUGACGAAGCACCCAAUUCUUCUAGAGAAACCGGACAGUGGUGCACGUCAGCUGCCAAUAUGUGCACCGUCCCCCAGGUAAAGUGGGGGGAGUGGGGGCCACAAUCACACAAGUCAAUGAGGGAGGGGCAGUCAAUGACUGUUCGGACAGGACAUGCACUCAAGGAAUACCAGAAUGGCGCAAUGUGACUAGGAUAGAUAACGAGUAGAUAAUAUCUAACGAUAGAGUAUGCAAGUAUACAUUAGUGAUGGCUGGAUAUGAUGAGUUAAUCUUAUAGAUGCAAAGAGUAGUACGAAUGAGAUACACCUCAUAGAAAGUAUAUAGCUAAGCAGUGAACGAAGUCGAUCAAGGAGAGAAUACACUGUCAAGACAAGGGUUCAGAGGGGGGAUAUAAUACGAGCGAGAGCUCAAUGGGCAGUAAGCCCCCAGUAGUGUAGAGUAGGUAGGAAAUCUGAAAGACAACAUGAUAGGUUAAAGUAAUACUGAGAAGGGAAAAGAGGCUCUUAAGAUCGAGAGAACAGCGAAAGUAUAUUAAGAAGAGAUAAACAAAGUAGAUAAGAAAGAUACAUAGAUAAAGAAUAAAAGAUACACAUAAAAAGUCGAAUAAUAAAAUAAACAGUAAAAAGGAUAAGAUGGUUUAGUGAUUUAAUGUCAAGAUUGAAUGUAAUUAUGUAAAAUAAAAAUAAAAAGAAUAUAAAUAGAAGGAAAUUUAAGAAAUAAGAUGAAAUGAUAAGAAUAAAAAUAAUUAAAAUAAAAAUUAAGUAACAGAUAAAUCAAUUAGCCGAUAAUACAACUAAUGCUGAUAUUAGAUAAGGUAUAAAAAAUUAAUUGAAAGAAAAAAAAAGUAGGAACUUCAGUGGGUGAACAUGCGGAAGGAUCAUUAAAGAGUGAGGGCCCCUCGGGGUCCAACUUCCCACCCGUGUUUAACGAACAUUUGAUGCUUUGACGGGCCCGCCUCAAGGCCGCCGGGGGGCUCCUGCCCCCGGGCCCGCGCCCGCCGAAGCCCCCCAAUGAACGCUGUUAGAAGUUUGCAGUCAGAGAAACUAGAUAAAUUAGUUAAAACUUUCAACAAACGGAUCUCUUGGUUCCGGCAUCGAUGAAGAACGCAGCGAAAUGCGAUAACUUAUGUGAAUUGCAGAAUUCAGUGAAUCAUCGAGUCUUUGAUCGCUCAUUGCGCCCUCUGGUAUUCCGGAGGGCAUACCUGUCCGAGCGUCAUUGCUGCCCUCAAGCACGGCUUGUGUGUUGGGCCCCCGUCCCCCCCUAUGCCGGAGGGACGGGCCAAAAUGGCAAGCGGAGGCAACGCGUCCGAUCAUAGAAGAGUAUGGACAUCGUCACCCGCUCUUGAGAAACCGUCCGGCGCCAACAGACAAAACCUUAUAUUGGUUCAGGAAACAAUAGAAAGUCAAUAUAAGUAAAAAACAAUAAAGAAAGCAAUGUAAAAAUCAUUUUAAAGAUAAUUCAUGAAAUUUAGAAU